GCAAUCAGUGAGGAAUUCGCGCCCGCGAAUCAUAAUUACCACUCCACGACAAACUUCGCAAGGAUAGUACCUGUGAGAAACGAGGCGCACCCUGGCUUGCGGAUGGGAAUCCACCGACUUUUCUCACCACGUGAUCGUGCGUCAAGUCGCACUCGACUCUUCUACCUUGUAAUUGUGUUGUUCUGUUUCCCUUUUUUUUUCGGGUUCAAUUUUGAUGUCUUGCCGGGAUUUUUGUCGUCUCAGCUGCAAGUAAUACCAUAAGGUUUUUCUUUGCUUUUUCCACGACUGGUUUUCUGGUUUUUUGCAGCAUGAGAGUUGAAGCGACAAAAAGUGGUUAAGACAGCCAUGUUUGAAACUGGGCUCGCAUGAUUGGCAAGAGAUCACGAGGAUUUGCCUGUUCCCUGGCUGGAAGAGAGAGCGCUCACACUUUUUUACAGCGCUUUACUGAGGUUUCAUGCAUUUUUAGCGUAAGGAAGAGAAUUGAUAUAAGAUCUCACCCGGUAUGAGGCGCAGUUUCAUUUCGUUGCUUACCCAUCCAUACAAUAUUGGUCUUCCUUGUUGGUCCUGCCCUCUGAACCUCGUAUUUCCGAAUAGACCUCAACCUUGUUAAGACUAUGAACCGAAUUGAUUCCUUGGUUGGAUGAAAAAUCAGCCCAUAUAUUUCCGCAGUCACGAAGACGUGGAAUGUGAAAACCGCAGGCAAAUACAGCAGCGCCUUUCGAGGAAGCACGUUCUCGCACUGGGACAUUCGAUGGUUUUCAUUUUUACAAGUUGUCAUUUACGAAGGCCCUGAUGAUCAACUAUUUUUGAAGGGACGUUGAUAAAUCUGUAACUGAAAAUUAUAUCAGCCUAUUAGAUUCCACGAUCAACAAACUAGCGUGGGGGUGAACUUUUGAACCGCGCUUCCGGCUGGAGAUGCAUAUGUGUUCGCUGAUGACUUGACCUAAGGUAAAAUAAAAUAUAUUUUGAGUUUUGGCAACUGUUGUUGGCGGGUAUCAAAAAGUGAUUUGUUGACUUUUUCAUGGACUGUGUGCUUUUCACUAUUUUGCUUUUGCUUCAAUUUGUUUUCUCUUCUGAUAUUGAAUUGUCAUACCCCACCCAUCUUGAGGUUGAAGGUUUCACGGAGAAAUUUUGGUAUACAUGUCUUUGGUGUGUUUGGAACGGAGUAAUGAUGGCAAUGUAAGGGAUGAUAGAUCCUGAAUCGCUGGAAGGGAUCCAGAAUCUCUGGUUACUGAUCACUUCCUCCGUUUCCCAGCCUGAAUGAAGCAAAAGUCCAGUAUAGAUAGAAGUAAAUUAUGGCGAUUGGACUAGCUGAAUAAUAGUGAGUCAAUAGACUACAUUCGUGGU
Molecule: small RNA, 1347 nt
Filed under: Histoplasma capsulatum var. duboisii H88
Lineage: Eukaryota; Fungi; Ascomycota; Eurotiomycetes; Onygenales; Ajellomycetaceae
Description: Histoplasma capsulatum H88 hypothetical RNA
Source: RNAcentral